RNAcentral lists this ribosomal RNA (468 nucleotides) under uncultured bacterium. Its description in RNAcentral is "partial 16S ribosomal RNA". It matches the Rfam family "Bacterial small subunit ribosomal RNA", at positions 28 to 507 of the family's 1533-position model. The record is from RNAcentral.
GACGAACGCUGGCGGCGUGCUUAACGCAUGCAAGUCGAACGGAAAGGCCCUGCUUUUGUGGGGUGCUCGAGUGGCGAACGGGUGAGUAACACGUGAGUAACCUGCCCUUGACUUUGGGAUAACUUCAGGAAACUGGGGCUAAUACCGGAUAGGAGCUCCUGCUGCAUGGUGGGGGUUGGAAAGUUUCGGCGGUUGGGGAUGGACUCGCGGCUUAUUAGCUUGUUGGUGGGGUAGUGGCUUACCAAGGCUUUGACGGGUAGCCGGCCUGAGAGGGUGACCGGCCACAUUGGGACUGAGAUACGGCCCAGACUCCUACGGGAGGCAGCAGUGGGGAAUAUUGCACAAUGGGCGGAAGCCUGAUGCAGCAACGCCGCGUGCGGGAUGACGGCCUUCGGGUUGUAAACCGCUUUCGCCUGUGACGAAGCGUGAGUGACGGUAAUGGGUAAAGAAGCACCGGCUAACUACGUG